Molecule: ribosomal RNA, 631 nt
Filed under: Globigerinoides ruber albus
Lineage: Eukaryota; Foraminifera; Rotaliida; Globigerinidae
Description: partial small subunit ribosomal RNA
Rfam family: Eukaryotic small subunit ribosomal RNA
Source: RNAcentral
AUCACAUGACUUGCCCCCUGGGACUCUUUUGAACGCAACGGACGUGAUUGCAACCCCUUGUUGAGAUUAGAGAUAGUCUCGAUAUUCACUGGACAAACUGGCUGCUUUAUGCAGUCUUGUUGAAUGGUGGAUAAACUCGGGGGACUGCUGACUAUAACCAUUUCUCAAAACAGAGGAAGGUUGCGGCAAUAACAGGUCUGUGAUGCCCUCAGAUGUCCCGGGCUGCACACGUGCUACAAUGAGUGGCGCAAUGUGCUAAUGUUUAAGGGAUAAGAGUGUGGUCAGUAGAACGUCGGGAUUUCCCCUGACGUCUCCCCCGCACGAUUAUCAGCCUUCCCUUAACAGGGCGGGCAACCUUUUCAAAAUACUGGUUUGAUGUUAAAGUAUUGAGUCGUUUUUUUUGGAUGGUGGUUUGUUAACCAAUACCAUCCGGCAACUGCUCGCGAGUUUGUGGUUCUGGCGACUCAUGGUGGGGACCGACGUUUGUAAUUUUUUGUCGCGUGUUAACUAGGAAUGCCUUGUACUGUCGAUUCACUAAGUUACUGGGAAUACGUCCCUGCCCUUUGUACACACCGCCCGUCGCUCUUACCGAUGGCUGUGUGUGUGAGUAAGAGCGACUGUUAAGAGGGAA